AAAUUGAAGAGUUUGAUCAUGGCUCAGAUUGAACGCUGGCGGCAGGCCUAACACAUGCAAGUCGAGCGGUAGCACAGAGAGCUUGCUCUCGGGUGACGAGCGGCGGACGGGUGAGUAAUGUCUGGGAAACUGCCUGAUGGAGGGGGAUAACUACUGGAAACGGUAGCUAAUACCGCAUAACGUCGCAAGACCAAAGUGGGGGACCUUCGGGCCUCAUGCCAUCAGAUGUGCCCAGAUGGGAUUAGCUAGUAGGUGGGGUAACGGCUCACCUAGGCGACGAUCCCUAGCUGGUCUGAGAGGAUGACCAGCCACACUGGAACUGAGACACGGUCCAGACUCCUACGGGAGGCAGCAGUGGGGAAUAUUGCACAAUGGGCGCAAGCCUGAUGCAGCCAUGCCGCGUGUGUGAAGAAGGCCUUCGGGUUGUAAAGCACUUUCAGCGGGGAGGAAGGUA
Molecule: ribosomal RNA, 454 nt
Filed under: Klebsiella pneumoniae
Lineage: Bacteria; Pseudomonadati; Pseudomonadota; Gammaproteobacteria; Enterobacterales; Enterobacteriaceae
Description: bacterial SSU rRNA
Rfam family: Bacterial small subunit ribosomal RNA
Source: RNAcentral